Nothobranchius furzeri (turquoise killifish) is the source of this 1485-nucleotide long non-coding RNA. The record is from Ensembl. Lineage: Eukaryota; Metazoa; Chordata; Actinopteri; Cyprinodontiformes; Nothobranchiidae.
AUGGAAAAGGGAGGACUUGGACGUUCUCCAAGAGGUUUGGAGUUUAAAAAGGAUUAUUUAAAAAUGAAUCAAGUUCAUUUAAAUGUGUUUAAUGUGGUUUUGGAGCAGAAAAAUGAAAAGCUGGAAAAAAAAGCUGAACUGAUCCAGAAGAGCCUUGACACAUGUCAGCGUCAGCUGCAGGAGCUGAACAAGGAGAAAGUCACAAACUCAAAACUGAUCUCAGAUCUGGAGGCAGAGCGCUCUCAGCUGAUCAGAGAGAAAGAGGAGCUGCUGACCAAAAUAAACCAAUGUGCACAAGAAACGGAGGAAAAGAGCUGCCAGCACAGGAAAUCCUUGGAAGUUUUAGAGUUAGAAGUUCAGAAAGUGCACGAUCAGUGUUCGGUUUUAGAGGCUGGAGUCAAAGACAAGGAGAGGAUGCUGCACCUUCAGGAGGAGGAGUUUAACAAACAAGAUGACAUGAGGGUCAGAUGCAUUGAUGAGCUGAAAGCUGUGGCUUCACACUGGACUGAGAAGUGGCAAAACGCGGCUCUGACCCUUCAGGCCACACAGAACCAAUUAGAAGAACUCACAAGGAGGACUUCUGCAGAUCAAAUGGAGUCUGGCUCAGAGCUGAGGGCUGAGCUUCAAAACAACAAACCAGAGCUGGAGCAGGAACCAAGCAGGGCUCAGAGCCAUCAGGCACAAGGAGUCCAGAGGCUUCAGACUAUCCCAAAAGAGACAGACUUAUCAAAAUCCUAUUUGGUGUGUGAGCAUCCACCAGAGCCCCAGUUUGACCAAAACACACAGGCGUGGACACAAAACGACCAGGUGCAAAGUCUGAGACAGAAACUAGCAGAAAAGGAGAAGGAAAUGACUGAAAGAGAACAAGCCUUUAGGAGUUUAGAAAAAAUGAGAGAGAUGGAAAAAACUGAAGCUCAGAUCAAGAUUUCUACUCUGCAGCUGCAGCUGAUGAAAAAAGUGUCUGAAGAGGGCAAAGAUGAUGGAGACCUGCAGUCAGAUGUGUUGGACCCUGCCUCACUGCAGCCAGAUGAGCAUGGGAGGAACACGGACCUGCUAGCUGCUGAGAUGCAUCUGAAACAACAGCCCUACCUGGAUAAAGAGGAGAAAUUAUCAGCUGAAGACAGGAAGGAUAAGCUGAUCUGUACGGUUGAUCCAGAGAUGGAGCAGCGAAGACGAAUGAUCACAGAGCAGUUAAAGAGUCUGUUUAAGCAGCGAGAAGGAAAAGAGGAUGGUCAGGUGCUGGACACAUCAGCUCAAACUGGAGCCACCUCACCCCAAGACUGGACUCCAUCUUUGUUUGUAAGGGCAGGAUGGGACAGGAGAAACUGGCAUCACAGCUCAGGACUGAUGCCGGUGUUCGAGGAGGACGAGGAGGAUGAAGAGGACGAAGAGGACAGUGAUUGGUUUAGAGAGGAGGAGGAAGAUGCAAAAGAAACUUGUGCUGAGGUAAAACUCUGCAGUCAGAGGUUUAAACAGCAGAAGUAA